UUGACCUCGGAUCAAGGUAGGAAUACCCGCUGAAC
This 35-nucleotide ribosomal RNA is filed under the name Geosmithia flava. Its description in RNAcentral is "partial 28S ribosomal RNA". Lineage: Eukaryota; Fungi; Ascomycota; Sordariomycetes; Hypocreales; Bionectriaceae. The record is from RNAcentral.